RNAcentral lists this ribosomal RNA (141 nucleotides) under uncultured bacterium. RNAcentral's name for it is "partial 16S ribosomal RNA". It matches the Rfam family "Bacterial small subunit ribosomal RNA", at positions 355 to 509 of the family's 1533-position model. The record is from RNAcentral.
UGGGGAAUAUUGGGCAAUGGGCGCAAGCCUGACCCAGCAACGCCGCGUGAAGGAAGAAGGCUUUCGGGUUGUAAACUUCUUUUCUGAGGGACGAAGAAAGUGACGGUACCUCAGGAAUAAAGCCACGGCUAACUACGUGCC